Molecule: ribosomal RNA, 523 nt
Filed under: Byssoporia sp. YM2020
Lineage: Eukaryota; Fungi; Basidiomycota; Agaricomycetes; Atheliales; Atheliaceae
Description: eukaryotic LSU rRNA
Rfam family: 5.8S ribosomal RNA (bases 143-296)
Source: RNAcentral
CUCACCUCCCUGGGCACCUCUGCGUGGGCUUCGAGCGUUCGUUCGCUCGGGUCCGCGUCCUUUUACACAACGAAACCCCUUUGCACGUAUCGGAACGUCUGGUUUGCUCUCGAGGCAACAAAAAAAAUAAAUAAACUUGUACAACUUUCAACAACGGAUCUCUUGGCUCUCGCAUCGAUGAAGAACGCAGCGAAAUGCGAUAAGUAAUGUGAAUUGCAGAAUUCAGUGAAUCAUCGAAUCUUUGAACGCACCUUGCGCCUCUUGGUAUUCCGAGGGGCACGCCUGUUUGAGUAUCGUGAAAUCAUCAACCCGACUCCUUUUGUGAAAAGGGGAGGAGGGCUUGGACUUUGGAGGUCUUGCCGGUCCGUUCGUCGUGAUCGGCUCCUCUCGAAUGCAUUAGUGGGGCUUCAUCCACUCUCUCUGCCUCUCGGUGUGAUAAUUCAUCUGCGCCGACGUGUGAGGGAGGAAAAGCAUCGCUUCUAACCCUGGUCCGUCUCGCACGAGACGACCUUUUCGAACCCUU